Molecule: ribosomal RNA, 253 nt
Filed under: uncultured bacterium
Lineage: Bacteria
Description: partial 16S ribosomal RNA
Rfam family: Bacterial small subunit ribosomal RNA
Source: RNAcentral
UACGUAGGCAGCGAGCGUUGUUCGGAGUUACUGGGCGUAAAGCGUGCGUAGGCGGUGUCUUAAGUUUGUUGUGAAAUCUCCCGGCUUAACCGGGAGGGUGCGGCGAAUACUGAGAUGCUGGAGUGCCGGAGAGGUAAGCGGAAUUCCUGGUGCAGCGGUGAAAUGCGUAGAUAUCAGGAGGAACACCUGCGGUGUAGACGGCUUACUGGACGGUAACUGACGCUGAGGCACGAAAGCGUGGGUAGCAAACAGG